Molecule: ribosomal RNA, 2903 nt
Filed under: Escherichia coli
Lineage: Bacteria; Pseudomonadati; Pseudomonadota; Gammaproteobacteria; Enterobacterales; Enterobacteriaceae
Description: 23S ribosomal RNA
Rfam family: Bacterial large subunit ribosomal RNA
Source: RNAcentral
GGUUAAGCGACUAAGCGUACACGGUGGAUGCCCUGGCAGUCAGAGGCGAUGAAGGACGUGCUAAUCUGCGAUAAGCGUCGGUGAGGUGAUAUGAACCGUUAUAACCGGCGAUUUCCGAAUGGGGAAACCCAGUGUGUUUCGACACACUAUCAUUAACUGAAUCCAUAGGUUAAUGAGGCGAACCGGGGGAACUGAAACAUCUAAGUACCCCGAGGAAAAGAAAUCAACCGAGAUUCCCCCAGUAGCGGCGAGCGAACGGGGAGGAGCCCAGAGCCUGAAUCAGUGUGUGUGUUAGUGGAAGCGUCUGGAAAGGCGCGCGAUACAGGGUGACAGCCCCGUACACAAAAAUGCACAUACUGUGAGCUCGAUGAGUAGGGCGGGACACGUGGUAUCCUGUCUGAAUAUGGGGGGACCAUCCUCCAAGGCUAAAUACUCCUGACUGACCGAUAGUGAACCAGUACCGUGAGGGAAAGGCGAAAAGAACCCCGGCGAGGGGAGUGAAAAAGAACCUGAAACCGUGUACGUACAAGCAGUGGGAGCCUCUUAAUGGGGUGACUGCGUACCUUUUGUAUAAUGGGUCAGCGACUUAUAUUCUGUAGCAAGGUUAACCGAAUAGGGGAGCCGAAGGGAAACCGAGUCUUAACUGGGCGUUAAGUUGCAGGGUAUAGACCCGAAACCCGGUGAUCUAGCCAUGGGCAGGUUGAAGGUUGGGUAACACUAACUGGAGGACCGAACCGACUAAUGUUGAAAAAUUAGCGGAUGACUUGUGGCUGGGGGUGAAAGGCCAAUCAAACCGGGAGAUAGCUGGUUCUCCCCGAAAGCUAUUUAGGUAGCGCCUCGUGAAUUCAUCUCCGGGGGUAGAGCACUGUUUCGGCAAGGGGGUCAUCCCGACUUACCAACCCGAUGCAAACUGCGAAUACCGGAGAAUGUUAUCACGGGAGACACACGGCGGGUGCUAACGUCCGUCGUGAAGAGGGAAACAACCCAGACCGCCAGCUAAGGUCCCAAAGUCAUGGUUAAGUGGGAAACGAUGUGGGAAGGCCCAGACAGCCAGGAUGUUGGCUUAGAAGCAGCCAUCAUUUAAAGAAAGCGUAAUAGCUCACUGGUCGAGUCGGCCUGCGCGGAAGAUGUAACGGGGCUAAACCAUGCACCGAAGCUGCGGCAGCGACACUAUGUGUUGUUGGGUAGGGGAGCGUUCUGUAAGCCUGUGAAGGUGUACUGUGAGGUAUGCUGGAGGUAUCAGAAGUGCGAAUGCUGACAUAAGUAACGAUAAAGCGGGUGAAAAGCCCGCUCGCCGGAAGACCAAGGGUUCCUGUCCAACGUUAAUCGGGGCAGGGUGAGUCGACCCCUAAGGCGAGGCCGAAAGGCGUAGUCGAUGGGAAACAGGUUAAUAUUCCUGUACUUGGUGUUACUGCGAAGGGGGACGGAGAAGGCUAUGUUGGCCGGGCGACGGUUGUCCCGGUUUAAGCGUGUAGGCUGGUUUUCCAGGCAAAUCCGGAAAAUCAAGGCUGAGGCGUGAUGACGAGGCACUACGGUGCUGAAGCGACAAAUGCCCUGCUUCCAGGAAAAGCCUCUAAGCAUCAGGUAACAUCAAAUCGUACCCCAAACCGACACAGGUGGUCAGGUAGAGAAUACCAAGGCGCUUGAGAGAACUCGGGUGAAGGAACUAGGCAAAAUGGUGCCGUAACUUCGGGAGAAGGCACGCUGAUAUGUAGGUGAAGCGACUUGCUCGUGGAGCUGAAAUCAGUCGAAGAUACCAGCUGGCUGCAACUGUUUAUUAAAAACACAGCACUGUGCAAACACGAAAGUGGACGUAUACGGUGUGACGCCUGCCCGGUGCCGGAAGGUUAAUUGAUGGGGUUAGCGGUAACGCGAAGCUCUUGAUCGAAGCCCCGGUAAACGGCGGCCGUAACUAUAACGGUCCUAAGGUAGCGAAAUUCCUUGUCGGGUAAGUUCCGACCUGCACGAAUGGCGUAAUGAUGGCCAGGCUGUCUCCACCCGAGACUCAGUGAAAUUGAACUCGCUGUGAAGAUGCAGUGUACCCGCGGCAAGACGGAAAGACCCCGUGAACCUUUACUAUAGCUUGACACUGAACAUUGAGCCUUGAUGUGUAGGAUAGGUGGGAGGCUUUGAAGUGUGGACGCCAGUCUGCAUGGAGCCGACCUUGAAAUACCACCCUUUAAUGUUUGAUGUUCUAACGUGGGCCCCUUACCGGGGUUGCGGACAGUGUCUGGUGGGUAGUUUGACUGGGGCGGUCUCCUCCUAAAGAGUAACGGAGGAGCACGAAGGUUGGCUAAUCCUGGUCGGACAUCAGGAGGUUAGUGCAAUGGCAUAAGCCAGCUUGACUGCGAGCGUGACGGCGCGAGCAGGUGCGAAAGCAGGUCAUAGUGAUCCGGUGGUUCUGAAUGGAAGGGCCAUCGCUCAACGGAUAAAAGGUACUCCGGGGAUAACAGGCUGAUACCGCCCAAGAGUUCAUAUCGACGGCGGUGUUUGGCACCUCGAUGUCGGCUCAUCACAUCCUGGGGCUGAAGUAGGUCCCAAGGGUAUGGCUGUUCGCCAUUUAAAGUGGUACGCGAGCUGGGUUUAGAACGUCGUGAGACAGUUCGGUCCCUAUCUGCCGUGGGCGCUGGAGAACUGAGGGGGGCUGCUCCUAGUACGAGAGGACCGGAGUGGACGCAUCACUGGUGUUCGGGUUGUCAUGCCAAUGGCACUGCCCGGUAGCUAAAUGCGGAAGAGAUAAGUGCUGAAAGCAUCUAAGCACGAAACUUGCCCCGAGAUGAGUUCUCCCUGACUCCUUGAGAGUCCUGAAGGAACGUUGAAGACGACGACGUUGAUAGGCCGGGUGUGUAAGCGCAGCGAUGCGUUGAGCUAACCGGUACUAAUGAACCGUGAGGCUUAACCUU